RNAcentral lists this long non-coding RNA (1640 nucleotides) under Diabrotica virgifera virgifera (western corn rootworm). Its description in RNAcentral is "uncharacterized LOC126884746". Lineage: Eukaryota; Metazoa; Arthropoda; Insecta; Coleoptera; Chrysomelidae. The record is from RNAcentral.
UCAAAGUAAGUUAUCAAUCGAAGUAGCACAGAAAACGAGAAUAAAUAUCGUUCCCAUACCACCAGAUUGACAACAGGUGGAAUACUUUCUUUGGUUACACCUCCUGAGAUUUUCAAAAAUUUAUAAAUCAUACAUGAUGCCGGGGAAAUUAAGAUGAUAACUCAUCUGCUUAGCGUGGUAAAACUCCAACAAGAAAGAUUCCUUAAUACUCAAACAAAAGAGUAAAUGAAUUAAAAAUGUAUAAACAUUCUCAAUUUCUUUGCAAUACGCAAAUGCAGCAGCUGCAUAAUACUAUGGUCAAAUCUGAGAGUUCAGGAAGAGUCUAUACCCGUUUUGGGGGUUGUUUCCCCCUCAUCAGUAGUCCCAUAUCCUCCUCUCUCAGAUUCUUCCACCUACCACACUUUGGGCCUUUUCAAAUUGCAAAGAAAGAAAUGUCACGGAUGAACUAGGGCCGGCCAUCUACCGAAAAACAAAGUAAGCUAUCAAUCGAAGUAGCACAGAAAACGAUAAUAAAUACCCUAACAACACACAACAUUCCAGGAAUGUACUACCAAAGUUCUAUCAAUAUUUGAAUGUCCUGGACAUUUAGGGAACAUUCGGUGAACAUCUGUUUAAAUUAUUCCUGGAAUGUUACCAUAAGACAUUCUGUGAACAUACUACCAAUGUUCCUAUAUUUUAAGUUGCGAAAUAAUACAUACGUGUAAGAGAUACAACAUUACUUAUAACAUACCAGACAAACUAAGUGACAUUUUAGGCCUACAGUGCAAUAAUAUGUCAAAUUUAAAGAGUUUCCCAAGAUUAUAAACAUACAAAUGUAAUAAAAAUUAUUGUUCGCGAAUAUUCAAUUUGGAAUGCGAUUUUGUUAAUAAAAAAAAUACUUAUAACUUAUGCAAAACCCAAGAGAGGCAUUUAUAUUUAUUUCUUUUGCGUUCAUUUUCAAAUUCGCCGUGCAUAUAUUUUUGUGCAUGGCGCUUGAGAGGGCAUCACGUGACUAAAAACGACCAACCAACGACCUCGCUUCGGCCAUCUUGGCAUCUUCAUCUUGGCGACCUUGCCUUGCCGUGGAUUGUUUUUAGUUGUUUGUAUUAUUUGUGCUUUUUAAGAAUAUUUUUUUAAUUCGGAUACUUUUAUAAUAGCUUUAAUAGUAUUAUUAACAUAGUGCAUAAAAUGGUGUCCUGUUUUUAACGCAGUUGGAGUAGCAGAAACAAAUGUAGAUAAAAAAAUCUGCAGGAAUAACGUUUCAAUUAUGACAGAAGCUCAAAACAAAUGACUGUGAAUGGAAUGAAAAGCCCUAUUAAAAGCUUUCCAGAAGAUCCUGCGAAGAAGACAUGAAGUAUAGAUCAGAUUUGUUAAUAGAGGAGUAUGUUCAAAACACUUUUUAGAAAAAGAUAUUGACAGAACUUCACUUUCAUCUGUUCGUUUGAGAGACUGUGCUGUUCCAAUAGCUUAUGUCACACAGAAUCAGCUGAGAGAAGUGGUCUACAAAAAACCAGAAAGGAAACGGAAUAUGUGGCUACGAAAAGCAAAAGAAAGGUUUACAAAGCAAAUGUGACACAUUUUUUUAUAAUAUUUAGGAAUGUCAGCAAAUUACAUUAAAAAAUGUAUGUAAAGAUUUUUUGCAAUAAAAAUGUUUAUAUUUA